Non-coding RNA from Chelonoidis abingdonii (Abingdon island giant tortoise), 306 nucleotides. Lineage: Eukaryota; Metazoa; Chordata; Testudines; Testudinidae. The record is from RefSeq and is a predicted model, not a curated record.
UUUGGGUUCUCACCAUUCCGUGAAGCUUGAACCAGUCAGGGGUCCCAGGUGGUGGGUGAGGGUCCGGAGUGCUCGAGACAGGCAGAGCCUCCAGUGUGAUCAGUCAGGAGAAGAUGAAGUCCCAGUGGAAUUGAUGCAGAUUUUGGAUCCAGGUAUCAGAACCUUACUUGAGCGUGGGUAGAGGUUUUUGUAGGGAAACAACAAUGGUUCAAGGGAGGAGACUAGAUUUGUUUUUGGGCAAACUGAUGGCUCAGGGAAGUAUACCAAAGUUGUUUUGUUCAGGCUAGACCACAGGAGCUGGUUAUU